CGUUUUUAUCAAAAAUCAUGUGAGCAGACUGCAGUUCUUCUUUAAGUGAAUAAUGUCUUAUUCCUUUAGGUGGCGAUAUAAAACGCCCUGGUGGAGAUGCAGAAGAGCAGUGUCCAUCAAUGAACUGAGAAAGGGAAUUUUUGGUGUACUUUCAUCAAUGACAUGUAAAAAUAGAAGACAGUGAAGACUCCAUUUUGUCACAAUAUGAAAUAUUACUUCGAACCUGCUGUAGCAGUCUGCCGUUUCCUAGCAUAUUCAUUGCCAGCACAUGAAGUCCACCUCAAAGCCAACUUACAACAGAUAAUUCAGUGUGUGAGCCAAAAUGAACAUCCAACAAGCCAGACAUGCCGUGAAAGACAGGGACCGUGAUCACGCUGAAACUGUAAGUCCAAUUUACUAUUCAGUACACAUUAAAG
Long non-coding RNA from Rana temporaria (common frog), 416 nucleotides. RefSeq lists it as uncharacterized. The transcript is spliced from 3 exons. Lineage: Eukaryota; Metazoa; Chordata; Amphibia; Anura; Ranidae. The record is from RefSeq and is a predicted model, not a curated record.